CCUACGGGAGGCUGCAGUGGGGAAUAUUGCACAAUGGGGGAAACCCUGAUGCAGCGACGCCGCGUGAAGGAAGAAGUAUUUCGGUAUGUAAACUUCUAUCAGCAGGGAAGAAAAUGACGGUACCUGACGAAGAAGCCCCGGCUAACGACGUGCCAGCAGCCGCGGUAAUACGUAGGGGGCAAGCGUUAUCCGGAUUUACUGGGUGUAAAGGGAGCGUAGGCGGUUUAGCAAGUCAGAAGUGAAAGCCCGGGGCUCCACUCCGGGACUGCUUUUGAAACUGUUGAACGAGAUUGCAGGAGAGGUACGUGUCAUUCCUGGUGUAGCGGUUGAAUGCGU
This 336-nucleotide ribosomal RNA is filed under the name uncultured bacterium. Its description in RNAcentral is "partial 16S ribosomal RNA". It matches the Rfam family "Bacterial small subunit ribosomal RNA", at positions 338 to 691 of the family's 1533-position model. The record is from RNAcentral.